CCUACGGGAGGCUGCAGUGGGGAAUAUUGCACAAUGGGGGAAACCCUGAUGCAGCGACGCCGCGUGAGUGAAGAAGUAAUUCGUUAUGUAAAGCUCUAUCAGCAGGGAAGAAAAUGACGGUACCUGAGUAAGAAGCCCCGGCUAACUACGUGCCAGCAGCCGCGGUAAUACGGAGGGGGCAAGCGUUAUCCGGAUUUACUGGGUGUAACGGGAGCGUAGACGGCAGUGCAAGUCUGGAGUGAAAGGCGGGGGCUCAACCCCCGGACUGCUCUGGAAACUGUACGGCUGGAGUGCAGGAGAGGUAAGUGGAAUUCCUAGUGUAGCGGUGAAAUGCGUAGAUAUUAGGAGGAACACCAGUGGCGAAGGCGGCUUACUGGACUGUAACUGACGUUGAGGCUCGAAAGCGUGGGGAGCAAACAGGAUUAGAUACCCUAGUAGUC
RNAcentral lists this ribosomal RNA (440 nucleotides) under uncultured bacterium. RNAcentral describes it as "partial 16S ribosomal RNA". It matches the Rfam family "Bacterial small subunit ribosomal RNA", at positions 338 to 795 of the family's 1533-position model. The record is from RNAcentral.